This 451-nucleotide ribosomal RNA is filed under the name uncultured bacterium. Its description in RNAcentral is "bacterial SSU rRNA". It matches the Rfam family "Bacterial small subunit ribosomal RNA", at positions 29 to 524 of the family's 1533-position model. The record is from RNAcentral.
AACGAACGCUGGCGGCAGGCCUAACACAUGCAAGUCGAACGCCCGUAGCAAUACGGGAGUGGCAGACGGGUGAGUAACGCGUGGGAACGUGCCCUUCGGUUCGGAAUAACUCAGGGAAACUUGAGCUAAUACCGGAUACGUCCGUAAGGAGAAAGAUUUAUCGCCGAAGGAUCGGCCCGCGUCGGAUUAGCUAGUUGGUGAGGUAAUGGCUCACCAAGGCGACGAUCCGUAGCUGGUCUGAGAGGAUGAUCAGCCACACUGGGACUGAGACACGGCCCAGACUCCUACGGGAGGCAGCAGUGGGGAAUAUUGGACAAUGGGCGAAAGCCUGAUCCAGCCAUGCCGCGUGAGUGAAGAAGGCCUUAGGGUUGUAAAGCUCUUUCAGCGGGGAAGAUAAUGACGGUACCCGCAGAAGAAGCCCCGGCUAACUUCGUGCCAGCCGCGCUGUAAC